This 253-nucleotide ribosomal RNA is filed under the name uncultured bacterium. Its description in RNAcentral is "partial 16S ribosomal RNA". It matches the Rfam family "Bacterial small subunit ribosomal RNA", at positions 524 to 776 of the family's 1533-position model. The record is from RNAcentral.
UACGAGGGGGGCAAGCGUUGUUCGGAAUUAUUGGGCGUAAAGGGUGCGUAGGCGGUUUGGUAAGUCUGAUGUGAAAUCUAUGGGCUCAACUCAUAGUCUGCAUCGGAAACUGCCGGGCUUGAGUGUGGGAGAGGUGAGUGGAAUUCCUGGUGUAGCGGUGAAAUGCGUAGAUAUCAGGAGGAACACCUGUGGCGAAAGCGGCUCACUGGACCAUAACUGACGCUGAGGCACGAAAGCCAGGGGAGCAAACGGG